RNAcentral lists this ribosomal RNA (405 nucleotides) under uncultured prokaryote. RNAcentral describes it as "bacterial SSU rRNA". It matches the Rfam family "Bacterial small subunit ribosomal RNA", at positions 355 to 774 of the family's 1533-position model. The record is from RNAcentral.
UGGGGAAUAUUGGGCAAUGGGCGCAAGCCUGACCCAGCAACGCCGCGUGAGGGAAGAAGGCUUUCGGGUUGUAAACCUCUGUCCUUGGUGACGAAACAAAUGACGGUAGCCAAGGAGGAAGCCCCGGCUAACUACGUGCCAGCAGCCGCGGUAAUACGUAGGGGGCGAGCGUUGUCCGGAAUUACUGGGCGUAAAGGGUGCGUAGGUGGCCCUUUAAGUUGGAUGUGAAAUACCCGGGCUUAACUUGGGGGGUGCAUCUAAUACUGGAGGGCUAGAGUGCAGGAGAGGAAAGCGGAAUUCCUAGUGUAGCGGUGAAAUGCGUAGAUAUUCGGAGGAACACCAGUGGCGAAGGCGGCUCACUGGUCCGGUACUGACGCUGAGGUGCGAAAGCGUGGGGAGCAAACA